RNAcentral lists this non-coding RNA (924 nucleotides) under Petrosaltator rozeti (North African sengi). RNAcentral's name for it is "partial 12S ribosomal RNA". It matches the Rfam family "Bacterial small subunit ribosomal RNA". Lineage: Eukaryota; Metazoa; Chordata; Mammalia; Macroscelidea; Macroscelididae. The record is from RNAcentral.
UUAGUAGGCUUAUACAUGCAAGUAUCCGCCAACCAGUGAAAAUGCCCUUCCACUCAUUCAUUUCAAUGAUUUACAAAGGAGCCGGUAUCAAGCCCACUAUAGUAGCUCAAGACACCUUGCUUAGCCACGCCCCCACGGGAUACAGCAGUAAUAAAAAUUAAGCAAUAAACGAAAGUUUGACUAAGCCAUACUAACAGAGAGUUGGUUAAUCUCGUGCCAGCCACCGCGGUCAUACGAUUGACUCAAGUUAAUAAGACCCGGCGUAGAGUGUGGUUAAAUGUACUCCCCUAAUAAAGUUAAAUCUAUUCUUAGCUGUAAAAAGCACAAGAAUUAAAUAAAAAUAUACCACUAAAGUGACUUUAAGGACAAAUGAACCCACGAUAGCUAAGAUACAAACUGGGAUUAGAUACCCCACUAUGCUUAGCCCUAAACCUCGAUAAUUAAUAACAAAAUUAUCCGCCAGAGAACUACAAGCCACAGCUUAAAACUCAAAGGACUUGGCGGUGCUUUAUACCCCCUAGAGGAGCCUGUUGCAUAAUCGAUAAACCCCGAUAGACCACACCAUCACUUGCCAAAUCAGUCUAUAUACCGCCAUCUUCAGCAAACCCUUAAAAGGAUCAAUAGUAAGCUUAAACGUAACCACAAAAACGUUAGGUCAAGGUGUAACCUAUGUGAUGGGACACAAUGGGCUACAUUUUCUACCCAAGAACAGACACGAACUUCUAUGUGAAAGCAUAGAAUGAAGGAGGAUUUAGCAGUAAGUCAGGAAUAGAGAGCCUGACUGAACCAGGCCAUGAAGCACGCACACACCGCCCGUCACCCUCCUCAAGCAUUUAAGACUAAAAAUCAUAUUUUACUAACCCGAAUGCAAGAGGAGACAAGUCGUAACAAGGUAAGCAUACUGGAAAGUGUGCUUGGAUUAUC